UCGAACGGCAGCACGGGAGCUUGCUCCUGGUGGCGAGUGGCGAACGGGUGAGUAAUGCGUCGGAACGUACCGAGUAAUGGGGGAUAACGCAGCGAAAGCUGUGCUAAUACCGCAUACGCCCCGAGGGGGAAAGCAGGGGAUCGCAAGACCUUGCGUUAUUCGAGCGGCCGACGUCUGAUUAGCUGGUUGGUGGGGUAAAGGCCUACCAAGGCGACGAUCAGUAGCGGGUCUGAGAGGAUGAUCCGCCACACUGGGACUGAGACACGGCCCAGACUCCUACGGGAGGCAGCAGUGGGGAAUUUUGGACAAUGGGGGAAACCCUGAUCCAGCCAUGCCGCGUGAGUGAAGAAGGCCUUCGGGUUGUAAAGCUCUUUCGGCCGGGAAAAAAUUGCACGGAUGAACAGUCUGUGUAGAUGAUGGUACCGGACUAAGAAGCACCGGCUAACUACGUGCCAGCAGCCGCGGUAAUA
Molecule: ribosomal RNA, 470 nt
Filed under: uncultured bacterium
Lineage: Bacteria
Description: bacterial SSU rRNA
Rfam family: Bacterial small subunit ribosomal RNA
Source: RNAcentral